CAGCGUCUUCAGGGCAGGGUGCGAUUCCCUACCGGUGGUACAGCCCACGAGCCGGCUGCUGAUUUGUCAGCAGGCAUGAUUCGGUGAAACUCCGAAGCCGACAGUAUAGUCUGGACGAAAGAAGAUCAGG
This 130-nucleotide non-coding RNA is filed under the name Lachnospiraceae bacterium A4. Its description in RNAcentral is "FMN riboswitch aptamer (RFN element)". It matches the Rfam family "FMN riboswitch aptamer (RFN element)". From Rfam's summary of the family: The RFN element is a highly conserved domain that is found frequently in the 5'-untranslated regions of prokaryotic mRNAs that encode for flavin mononucleotide (FMN) biosynthesis and transport proteins. This element is a metabolite-dependent riboswitch that directly binds FMN in the absence of proteins. The record is from Rfam by way of RNAcentral. RNAcentral also lists the same sequence under 1 other name. Lineage: Bacteria; Bacillati; Bacillota; Clostridia; Lachnospirales; Lachnospiraceae.